AAAGAAAGAUUAUAAAAAGUUAGAAAGAAGUUGCCGACUAAUCCCGGUGGACACCACUACUAGAAAAAAAUCAACCGGCAUAACCCUGUCGUGAGCAGCAACAGUGACUGAGGCAGACACGGGACCCGGUGACAGCUAGACUUCCUGAUCAUGUAUAAUUAUCUUUAACGCAUUCUGUUUUCAAAAAUAAAGAGUGGUGAUCUUCGAACUUUUUGUGUUAUAGUUUUCACACCACUUGUAUUAUGUACUGGUACCGUUCCAAGCGUGUGCGAACGUAUUGAUGUAUUUUAUAAUGUCUUCCGCUGUAUUAUAUUUAAAAUGGAUCGUUUUAACUUUCCCGCGAGUUUAUA
This is a long non-coding RNA of Tarenaya hassleriana, 350 nucleotides long. RefSeq lists it as uncharacterized. NCBI's taxonomy places the organism in Eukaryota, Viridiplantae, Streptophyta, Magnoliopsida, Brassicales, Cleomaceae. The transcript is spliced from 2 exons. The record is from RefSeq and is a predicted model, not a curated record.